AGACAGCAGAAGAGACUGUCAGCAGACCACCUUGGAGGGGAUGCUUGGAGCUGCCUAACGUGUGAUUCAAAGAUGAAUUCCAUGUGUUUGGAGAAGAAGCCCUAGCCUCAACACAAAGGUUGGCCACAUUCCAGCCAAGGUAGCACGGAGUGAAGGCCCGUGGAGGGAGAGCUGGGCUUUUCUGAACUACUUCAGUACACCUUGCUGUGCCUUGGCCUGCCGUGUUUCAUCCCCAUGGCUGUCCUCAGUGAUGUGCAUGGUCACUGCUCCCUUCACCACUGAGAAGACGGGCACAGGACAGUCAGGGGAUGUGUCCAAGGUCCCACAGCAGGAAGGGCUGGAGCCAGAAUGUGGUCUGAGAGGCUGGAUAUACAAAGAGACAAUGGCAUGACCAUCUGUACAAAUGGAACUAUGGCCCACAACCUGCAGCAGCCAGCCCAGGAAGCCAACCCGUCACCUGCAGCAGCCAGGAUGGAUGCUGGCCUGCCCUCACUGGCUUUGGGGAAGUAAAGGAAACCAGAGAAGAAGAGGCUGAAAGAAUUGGUUUCCACCGUGACCUUUGAACCCUCGGGCGAGUUGUCAGCCUCACUGAGGAUGAGUGUACUCCAUAUCAAGUGAGGUCACUUUACUCGCAAGCUUGUUGUGAGGACUGAAUGAAACCUUUUCUUUUUUCUUGGAGUUUCAGAGCAACGUCCCUGAGCCCAGCCCCACACUGGCUUGAGCCCUGUCGUCGGUCAAGACACGGUGCUUUCUCCCCUCCCCUCUGCACUCCAGCUUACUCUGCAGUCAGGAGGUGGCACCACGAUCCC
RNAcentral lists this long non-coding RNA (809 nucleotides) under Homo sapiens (human). RNAcentral's name for it is "HSALNT0299969". Lineage: Eukaryota; Metazoa; Chordata; Mammalia; Primates; Hominidae. The record is from RNAcentral.